ACAAUUCCUGCCCAUCAACUCCCGCUUUCGAGUGAUAAGGUAGGUGACAUUGGUACCUGUCUGUAUGCAUGUCCAUCUGUCUAUGCAUGUAUGUGCACGUACAACUGUACUGAAAGUGUGCAUGUCACACCUACUGGAGUUUAUGCGUUACCCCCCAAAGGUAUAACCUGGCGGGCGGGGGGGGCCCAUACGUACCUGGAGCCCUGAUGUGGGGCUGAGCCCAAGGUCCAGCCGAUUAUGCUACAUGCACGGCACCAUGUGCAUAAGGCAGGCACGGUUUUGGCCAAGUCGACCGGGCAGACACGAAACACGGCUGAAACACGAAACGCGGCGUGCUGUUGACAAUAGUUACCUUACCUCUCAUUUGCGUCAGUUUCCCGUCCGUCCGUCCGUCUGUUUGUUUGUUUGUUUGUUUGUCCGUCUGUCCGUCCUCGGGUUGCGUUUGAGAGCCUCCCUGGCACCCCCCGGAGGUGGCCCCUUGAGGGGUCUGCGUUAGCACACGUGUGUACACGUAGGCGAGUUGGUGAGGUCGCUACACAGCGUGUGAACGCCACUCUCCACUGUCAUCACCCACCGCCCGACAUACCUACAUAUAUACAUAUAUAUAUAUACAUCCUGCCUGCCUGCCUAGCUCCGCAUCACCCACACAUGGGGACGAUAUCCCACCCUAGACAUGACCUAUCUAUGCACACACACCCUCGAUCUACGCACCCACCACACCUCCCAACCUGACCUAAUACUGCCAUAUUGUCAUUCAUUCAUAUAUUCAGGUACGGCCUGAGCAUGCCCAGCAGUGGACCUUGCAUCGUCAACACCAACUCCCUGUUGUCGUACUUCGGUGUCAAUGCGUCCACGGGUACGACAGUCGGCUACCUGUUUGCCUACCUAGCUGCGAUACAUUUGAUCACGUACGUUGCCCUGCGCCGUGCGGUGAUGUCGAAAUGGAGACGGAUGCAAGACG
This 961-nucleotide long non-coding RNA is filed under the name Volvox carteri. RNAcentral's name for it is "long non-coding RNA (VCAR_LNC001237)". The record is from RNAcentral. Lineage: Eukaryota; Viridiplantae; Chlorophyta; Chlorophyceae; Chlamydomonadales; Volvocaceae.